This 617-nucleotide ribosomal RNA is filed under the name uncultured bacterium. RNAcentral's name for it is "bacterial SSU rRNA". The stretch from base 1 to 519 matches the Rfam family "Bacterial small subunit ribosomal RNA", at positions 338 to 873 of the family's 1533-position model. The record is from RNAcentral.
CCUACGGGAGGCAGCAGUGGGGAAUCUUGCGCAAUGGGCGAAAGCCUGACGCAGCCAUGCCGCGUGAAUGAUGAAGGUCUUAGGAUUGUAAAAUUCUUUCACCGGGGACGAUAAUGACGGUACCCGGAGAAGAAGCCCCGGCUAACUUCGUGCCAGCAGCCGCGGUAAUACGAAGGGGGCUAGCGUUGCUCGGAAUUACUGGGCGUAAAGGGAGCGUAGGCGGAUAGUUUAGUCAGAGGUGAAAGCCCAGGGCUCAACCUUGGAAUUGCCUUUGAUACUGGCUAUCUUGAGUAUGGGAGAGGUAUGCGGAACUCCGAGUGUAGAGGUGAAAUUCGUAGAUAUUCGGAAGAACACCAGUGGCGAAGGCGGCAUACUGGCCCAUUACUGACGCUGAGGCUCGAAAGCGUGGGGAGCAAACAGGAUUAGAUACCCUGGUAGUCCACGCUGUAAACGAUGAGUGCUAGUUGUCGGCAUGCAUGCAUGUCGGUGACGCAGCUACGACAUAAGACGACGUCCGCCGUCGGGGAGGUACGGUCGGCGAAGUAAGUUAAACGUUACAAAUAGUUAAGUUAGUACGGCGUUGAGACGUUGCCGACGGACGACGACGAGGGAGGAGG